UAUACAGCUAGUGAUACAGUCCUGCAUGCUCACAUUACAAAAAGGUGUCAGACUCGUUCAGUUAAUGUCCAUUUCACAGAGUUCAACUGGCUGUACCUCAGCGUAGAUAUUGUUGUCAAUCAUGUGCUUCAACACUUUUUCAGCGAGUUCUGUCUCUUCUAUAGCUACUUUCAGCACUAUUUUCAGCAGUGUCCUGUAGGUUGCAUCAGCAGGAUUGUGGCCUCUCCAUGUUUUGAAACAACUCGGCAUUGCCAUUGUAUUGCCUUGUGAAGCAGCUAUGAACUUCACGUCUCCCAUCUCGGCGGCAGUCAGUCCCAUUUUCUCGGUGAAGACAUUCACAUUGUUGAAGUGCUUCGCCAAGACAGGAAACUCGCUCUUAUUAAUCUCUGUAUCUAGCAUUCGAGAGGCUUUAUUAUCUGGGUUGUACUUUCCUAAGAAUUCUGCAACUUGGUCCAUUUCUGUUGGUGGGUUUAGUAGAAGGAUAUUCAGGGUUGUGGUGAGUAGGAUAUGCCUUGCUUAUAUAAUUAUGCGUAUACUGUUGCUAAGUACAUAUUUAUGGAGUCCCUGAUUUUUUCCCUUAUAAGUACUGACACGUACAAAUGCUAUAGACAUUGAAGGAAUGGGCUAAAUAGGAUUCAUUACGAGAGGUUAGAGAAUCAUGAGACUACUGCAGCACACCACCAUGCACCCCCAGCAAAGGUUCACAGGACAGAUGAUCUAAUCAGAUCAUAUUUAUGAUUUGGUAACUGUAAUCAAAUUCAUUAUUACCUUGUAGCUUGUUGUUAGAAAAUAAAUGAAUGUAGCUAAUGUUGCAUCGAGUAAUAAACUAUAACUAUACACACAACAACAACAACUUUUGUCAGCUCCAACAACAUUGCCACACUCAUACAUACGUGAACUUUCCCUCUGGCCCCUCAAGAGAAUACACAGAUAGCAGCAAUGAUAGAGUACCGUAUAGCGCGAAAUUUUCGAGGCACUUAUAUUUCAUGCAUUGGCCUCUAAAAACCAUUUCGUUGCACAAUGUUCGCGGAAUGACUGCUUACCGGAAGCCACGCCUUUAAAUCUUUGCAUGAUAGCAGGUAAUUCUAAUUAAAGAACACUUUUUGUGGACUUAAUUUUCGUGUAGAAUUCUAACCCCACAAAAUCCGCGAAAAUUAAGCCCCUCGAAAAUUUCGCGCUAUACGGUAUUAUAAAAGGAGGCAUAUUCAUCCCUAACUAAAACAAUUUUCUACAAGCCUGCAGGUGUAGCGACUAAUCAAAUCAAAAAAGAAGUAAUGGAGCGAGGUGAAUGAAUGUAAAAUAUAAUAGCUAAUGUUGCAUCCAAGUAACUAACUAUACACACACACAAGUCAGACAACAGGUCAGACAACACCUUUCCACCCCCCUCAUUCCAGUCCCUGUGUUUCAACAACAUCUGCGACGGCUUCAGGAUAGGAGGAGGAUCACUACUACGCUCUCUCCAUCUGCAACACUAUUGUGGCAGCUGUACUGUUGGCCGGCAUGGCUUGACAGUGUACAAUGAAGAUGGCUGCCACACUGAAGAGCAUUGGAAGCCAUGCCAACAGUACAGCUGCCACAAUAGUGUUGCGGAUGGAAAGAGCGUUUAUAGACAUAUGUGCAGUAUACGUACCUACAUGUACAUAAUAAUACUGAAUAUAGUAAAUAAGCUGCUCGUACGCCUUGUCGAUUUGCAUAUGAGAUGAAUCAUAUUAUGGAUUUGGAUUACUAAGGUUAUGAGCAAUUGUUUUAAAAUACUGAAAGUGUAUAGCAUCACUGAUAAUGGAUCAAAAUUGAUAGAUUGGGUAUACAGGGUUUUGCAGACAUCAACAAUAGUGUCGAGGGUUGAGCGUUCCUUAUAUGGAGUGCUUUGCGCUUUGUAAUCUUCCAUAUAAGGAACACUCAACCCUCUAUGUUGCAAAGAUUGAAGCAUAUACUCAGAAGCAAGCGGAUACCAUUCAACAACCGUAUACAAAUGGAGACUGUCAAUAUGGAAUCAGGACAAACUUGAACAAGAUUUCCAAACCAAAUGUCGCGAAUAUUUGCUUCAUAUCGAUGUUUAUUACAGGAAAAGAAAACCACUACUAUAUCCUGUCUCAUCGUACCUUGGUCUUUGCAUACAUUCUCUUUUUUGCUUGGCCAGAAAUUCUGUUGAGUGUAGCCACUAUCAUCAAUGCUAAAAAGGCUCAAGAACUAAGACAUUGAAGGCAAUAAAACUGAGGCUGAGAGAAAGGCUUCUCUGGCUCAGAAUCUCAACAUUGCAUCCUACAUCACAUCUGUAGUGUGUUUCGUAUUGGUGUCAACGGUACUCCCAGUGGCUAUUUACGUUGGAAUCGUAUACAGUUAGCUACAAUAAGGACAUACGCCUGCAUUAGGCUAUAGGUACAUGCAUGUAUAUAAUUAUUUACAACUUGACAUAGAUUUUGUGGAUUCACGUCACAAUUAAGGUCCAUUCCAUUGUCAUUUGAUGUACUUCUAGGUACGUACAAACGCAGCUGAUUUAGAAUACAGAUACUAGUUAGUGCACACUAGAUGUUAGCCUCCUUCACAGCCUCUUCUUUUUUUGUUCUUUGUCACAAUAGUUCAGUAAGAUAAAAUACGAGAUGAAUUGGAGGAACAAAGAAAGAAAGAAGAAAGAGACAAAGAAAAAGUAGAGCCUGCCUUGCUAAGUCGCGUGACGGUAGACAAGUGGUAGACAAGUGAAAAUGAACGUGAGCAAUCAUUAGCUGGGCGGAGCCUGGCAGAGCAAAAAGCUAUACAGCAUGCCUAUACGCGUAUACGCAUUGCAAACUCUAACAUAAAAGCUGUUAGCAUCCUGGAUAGUAUGCCAGAAUCAAGUGUGGAGACAUCGUAGAACGAGGGCUUACCAUUAAAGAUCUAGAUCUAGAUCUAAAUUUAGCUCAGUUUUUUUCCUGAGUUCAGAACAGACCCUAGUGGAUAUAAUUAUUACAGCAGUAUAGUCUUCUCUAGUCUUUCAUACUUCCUAAAGGUCUCACGAAGGCUGUUCAUAAAAUUAUGCACUCCAGUACAGGCAACUACUAUGCUCCUGUCUAACUAUUAUUUAGAACAUUUGAAACAGUAGGAACCGUGGGGACAAUAGAAACAGCUGUAAUAGUUUAAAUGCUGUGUAUAGCAUGAGUAUUACACUUAUAUUGAAAGUGCAAAAAAAACGUAUCACUGAACAAAUUUAAAGGGUGAAGUAAGUUCACAGGCAGCAAGCAUAAAGCAACAAGAAAGUAUCAUUUAACAACCAUGGUGGAGACUGUCAAUAUGGAAUCAGGACAAACCAGAGCGAGAUGUCCAAAACCAAAUGUUGCGAAUUUUUGCUGCAAACCAAUAGCUCAGUGGAUCAUUACAGGGAAAAAAGACCACUACUAUAUCCUGUCUCUGCGUACCUUGCUAAUUGCAUGCAUUCUCCUUUUUGCUUGGCCAGGAAUUCUGUUGAGUGUAGCUGCUAUCAUCAUUGCUAAAAAGGCUCAAAAACUGGAUAUUGAAGGCAAUAAAACCGAGGCUGAGAGAAAGGCUUCUCUCGCUAAGAAUCUCAACAUUGCAUCCUACAUCACCUCUUUAGUGUAUUUCAUAGUGGUGUUAACGGUACUCCCAGAGGCAAUUUACUUUGGAAUCGUAUACAGUUAGCUACAAUAAGGACAUACACCUGCAUGAGGCUAUAGGUACAUGCAGCUGAUUUAGAACUAAUACUAGUUAGUGCACGCACACUAGAUGUAUUGAUAUGUAUAUAUGCAUGGAUAUUUCACAUACAAAUUUAAUACAUAGCGGUAUAUAAUUAUAUUGGAAAGUUUAUUUAAUGAGUGACAAACUGAAAUCACACUAGCUAUUAUAUAUAGAGUACUUUAAAUAAUUAGAACGUGUACGUUCAUUACCUUUCACAUAUGCAUGGCUAUCAAGAAUUAAAUAUAGAAGGUUACAAUUCCAAUUAACAACAUGGCCACACUUACACAUACAUGAAUUUUCCCCUGUUACCUUUCAAGAGUACCUUAAGGUGACAUUAUUGCGGGUAUUAAUCUGCGAUUGAGAGUAAAAUCGUAGCUACUCACAGAUAGUUGGAAAAUGCAAUUAAAACCACUUAUGAGUAAUUAGAAACGCUAUGAAUUUCAUAACUUGAACAGGAUUUAGCGCAAAAUUAAAUAGCAGCAAAAUGAGCUAAACACUGAAAUCGCAGACAAAUCUAUACCUGUGAAAAUAUGUCACCUUAAGGUAUUAUAUUCAACCCUAACUUUCCAAGAGCCUGCAGAUGUAGCGACUAAUCAAAAUCAACAUGGAGCGAAGUGAAUGAAUGCGAGUCUUUUAACUCACGAUGUUGCAUCCAAGUAAUAACUAUACACACCACACACAUAGGUCAGAUAACACAGAUAGGAACAAGGAACUGUUUACCACCCCCACGGUCCAGUAACCACCAUUUGCGAGGGCUUCAGGAAGGGAAAGGAGGAUCACUACUACGCUCUCUCCAUUUGUAACACUAUUGUGGCAGCUGUACUGUUGGGUCGGCAUGGCUUCCAUCUUCAAUGCAAAGAAGGUACUUCUAUUCACAUACAUGUACAGUUUCGUAAACACGCAAUGCAUGAUUGAGCUAUCAAAAGACCAGAAUGUGACCCAUGCCAAAAUUGAAUACUUGAAGAGAUUUCUCUUUAUUGCGUGCGUUUAAUUAGGCACAAUCGAAGAACUUGUAUUCUGAUGUGCAUUGAACGUACGUUCUUAUACUUGUUUCUACGUUUCAUACUGUUUCUGCUGUUCUUUGUUCCUAGCAUAGCGUUCCUACUGUUCUUAAUGUACCAGUGACCAUACUAUUCCCAUGCAGUGUUCCAAAUAUUCCUACAGUUCCCAGUGUUCCUGAUGUUCCUAGGAACAGUAUAGGAACACUUGAAACGUAAGAGUAAGAACACUUAGAACAAAGGGAACAGUAGGAACCGCAAGAACUCUGUUGAGUGUAGCUGCUAUCAUUAAUGCUAAAAAGGUUCAGACAUUGAAGGCAAUAAAUCCGAGGCUGAGUGAAAGGGUUCUCUGGCUAAGAAUCUCAACAUUGCAUCCUACAUCACCUCUGGAGUGUAUUUCAUAUUGGUGUCAACAGUACUCCCAGUGGCAAUUUACCUUGGAAUCCUAUAUAUAUCUAGCUAGCUACAAUAAGGACAUACGCCUGAGGCUAUAGGUACAUGCAGCUGAUUUAGAACUACUGAAAUCAGUGUACACUAGAUGUAUUGAUGUGUACGUAUGGACAUUUCAAAGAUUGGAAAGUUUAUUUAA
This is a long non-coding RNA of Halichondria panicea, 5256 nucleotides long. RefSeq lists it as uncharacterized. The transcript is spliced from 6 exons. Lineage: Eukaryota; Metazoa; Porifera; Demospongiae; Suberitida; Halichondriidae. The record is from RefSeq and is a predicted model, not a curated record.